GAGGCCGGACGAUGUCGCGGCUGUGCGUUACCGGAGCAGCGCGAGGAAGGCCGUCGGCUCCACGUCGGGGAUGUGAACCUCGUGGCCGCUCUCGGCGAGGCCGCCGUAGAACAUGGCGUAGAACACCGAGCUGCCCACCGCCAGCACGUACUGCCGAGACACAGACAAGCGCCGUUAGCGAGGAGGGGCGGCACCCGCGAAGGCCGGCGCGGCACACGAGCGGGUGGGUGGGUGGCCGGCACCACGCCCGGCCGCCUUUGUCUCCCCGGUGCCGAAGCUUACGACACACCGCACCAGAUGUUGGUAAAGUGGCACAGAAACCACUGCAAGCAAUGCAAAUUGGUCUACUCCUAAAUACACGUGAACCCAAGAACCAGCCAUGAUGAUGCAUGGCCGGCUUGUGGAGAGGGGCCCUCCCCUACUCCUGGGUUGUGACUCAGCUCACGGAAUCGUUAUCGGUAAAUACUGAGCCAAAGCGCGGCAAGAAAUGAAAGCCGACGCGCAAACUGACUGCAUAAAUAAAGAA
Lethenteron reissneri (Far Eastern brook lamprey) is the source of this 526-nucleotide long non-coding RNA. RefSeq lists it as uncharacterized. The record is from RefSeq and is a predicted model, not a curated record. Lineage: Eukaryota; Metazoa; Chordata; Hyperoartia; Petromyzontiformes; Petromyzontidae.